Molecule: ribosomal RNA, 1092 nt
Filed under: Salmonella enterica
Lineage: Bacteria; Pseudomonadati; Pseudomonadota; Gammaproteobacteria; Enterobacterales; Enterobacteriaceae
Description: bacterial LSU rRNA
Rfam family: Bacterial large subunit ribosomal RNA
Source: RNAcentral
CAUCCUCCAAGGCUAAAUACUCCUGACUGACCGAUAGUGAACCAGUACCGUGAGGGAAAGGCGAAAAGAACCCCGGCGAGGGGAGUGAAAAAGAACCUGAAACCGUGUACGUACAAGCAGUGGGAGCCCCACCACCAAAGCAUUCUCUGGUGUUGAAGGCCCUGCAAAGCAGCAUCGCGGUGGCGGAGCGUCGUUUGCGACGCCCAACACACAAAACAAGCGGUGAGUGCUUUGGGGUGGGGUGACUGCGUACCUUUUGUAUAAUGGGUCAGCGACUUAUAUUCUGUAGCAAGGUUAACCGUAUAGGGGAGCCGUAGGGAAACCGAGUCUUAACCGGGCGUUAAGUUGCAGGGUAUAGACCCGAAACCCGGUGAUCUAGCCAUGGGCAGGUUGAAGGUUGGGUAACACUAACUGGAGGACCGAACCGACUAAUGUUGAAAAAUUAGCGGAUGACCUGUGGCUGGGGGUGAAAGGCCAAUCAAACCGGGAGAUAGCUGGUUCUCCCCGAAAGCUAUUUAGGUAGCGCCUCGUGAACUCAUCUCCGGGGGUAGAGCACUGUUUCGGCUAGGGGGCCAUCCCGACUUACCAACCCGAUGCAAACUGCGAAUACCGAAGAAUGUUAUCACGGGAGACACACGGCGGGUGCUAACGUCCGUCGUGAAGAGGGAAACAACCCAGACCGCCAGCUAAGGUCCCAAAGUCAUGGUUAAGUGGGAAACGAUGUGGGAAGGCCCAGACAGCCAGGAUGUUGGCUUAGAAGCAGCCAUCAUUUAAAGAAAGCGUAAUAGCUCACUGGUCGAGUCGGCCUGCGCGGAAGAUGUAACGGGGCUAAACCAUGCACCGAAGCUGCGGCAGCGACGCUGAUGCGUUGUUGGGUAGGGGAGCGUUCUGUAAGCCUGUGAAGGUGGCCUGUGAGGGUUGCUGGAGGUAUCAGAAGUGCGAAUGCUGACAUAAGUAACGAUAAUGCGGGUGAAAAGCCCGCUCGCCGGAAGACCAAGGGUUCCUGUCCAACGUUAAUCGGGGCAGGGUGAGUCGACCCCUAAGGCGAGGCCGAAAGGCGUAGUCGAUGGGAAACGGGUUAAUAUUCCCGUA